Molecule: small nuclear RNA, 102 nt
Filed under: Nannospalax galili (Upper Galilee mountains blind mole rat)
Lineage: Eukaryota; Metazoa; Chordata; Mammalia; Rodentia; Spalacidae
Source: RNAcentral
GUUCUCACUUCAACAGCACAUAUACCAAAACUGGAAUAACAGAGAUUAGUGAGGCCCUUCCAAAAAGACAGCAGGCAAAUUCAUGAAUCAUUCCUUAUUUUU